GCUUGAGUAGUUUAGCGGUUAAAACUUUAAUUUCAUACAUUAAAUACGAGAAUUCGAAUUUCUCCUCAAGCU
Collariella sp. IMI 366227 is the source of this 72-nucleotide non-coding RNA. The record is from the annotation of a GenBank genome assembly. NCBI's taxonomy places the organism in Eukaryota, Fungi, Ascomycota, Sordariomycetes, Sordariales, Chaetomiaceae.